AGGAACGCGAAGAACCUUACCAGGUCUUGACAUCUUUUGAUCACCUGAGAGAUCAGGUUUCCCCUUCGGGGGCAAAAUGACAGGUGGUGCAUGGUUGUCGUCAGCUCGUGUCGUGAGAUGUUGGGUUAAGUCCCGCAACGAGCGCAACCCUUAUGACUAGUUGCCAGCAUUUAGUUGGGCACUCUAGUAAGACUGCCGGUGACAAACCGGAGGAAGGUGGGGAUGACGUCAAAUCAUCAUGCCCCUUAUGACCUGGGCUACACACGUGCUACAAUGGAUGGUACAACGAGUUGCGAGACCGCGAGGUCAAGCUAAUCUCUUAAAGCCAUUCUCAGUUCGGACUGUAGGCUGCAACUCGCCUAACACGAAAAUCGGAAUCGCUAGUAAUCCCGGGAUCAGCACCCCCCCGGUGAAUACGUUCCCGGGGUC
This 429-nucleotide ribosomal RNA is filed under the name uncultured bacterium. Its description in RNAcentral is "bacterial SSU rRNA". It matches the Rfam family "Bacterial small subunit ribosomal RNA", at positions 955 to 1378 of the family's 1533-position model. The record is from RNAcentral.